Molecule: ribosomal RNA, 442 nt
Filed under: uncultured bacterium
Lineage: Bacteria
Description: bacterial SSU rRNA
Rfam family: Bacterial small subunit ribosomal RNA
Source: RNAcentral
AACGCGAAGAACCUUACCUACCCUUGACAUCCUAGGAAGACUGCAGAGAUGCGGUUGUGCCGAAAGGAACCUAGAGACAGGUGCUGCAUGGCUGUCGUCAGCUCGUGUUGUGAGAUGUUGGGUUAAGUCCCGUAACGAGCGCAACCCUUAUCCUUAGUUGCCAGCACGUAAUGGUGGGAACUCUAAGGAGACUGCCGGUGACAAACCGGAGGAAGGUGGGGAUGACGUCAAGUCAUCAUGGCCCUUACGGCCAGGGCUACACACGUACUACAAUGGUCGGUACAGAGGGUUGCAAUACCGCGAGGUGGAGCCAAUCCCAGAAAGCCGAUCCCAGUCCGGAUCGAAGUCUGCAACUCGACUUCGUGAAGUCGGAAUCGCUAGUAAUCGCAGAUCAGCUAUGCUGCGGUGAAUACGUUCCCGGGCCUUGUACACACCGCGCAUA